Molecule: unclassified non-coding RNA, 400 nt
Filed under: soil metagenome
Description: partial contains 5.8S ribosomal RNA, internal transcribed spacer 2, and large subunit ribosomal RNA
Rfam family: 5.8S ribosomal RNA (bases 1-122)
Source: RNAcentral
GAUGAAGAACGUAGCGAAAUGCGAUACUUGGUGUGAAUUGCAGAAUCCCGUGAACCAUCGAGUCUUUGAACGCAAGUUGCGCCUCAAGCCAUUAGGUUGAGGGCACGUCUGCCUGGGCGUCACAUAUCGUUGCCUGAUGCCAGUUUCCUCGUGAUGGGUGACUGUGCAGGGCGAAUGAUGGCUUCCCGUGAGCAUUGUUGCCUCAUGGUUGGUUGAAAAUUGAGUCCUUGGUAGGGAGCGCCGUGAUAGAUGGUGGUUGAGUGACGAACGAGACCCAAUCAUGUGAGACCCCUACCGAAUUUGGCCUUCAUGACCCACAUGCGUCUUUGGAACGCUCAUGACGAGACCUCAGGUCAGGCGUGGCUACCCGCUGAGUUUAAGCAUAUCAAUAAGCGGAGGA